This 154-nucleotide small nuclear RNA is filed under the name Neotoma lepida (desert woodrat). RNAcentral's name for it is "U1 spliceosomal RNA". It matches the Rfam family "U1 spliceosomal RNA". Rfam says of the family: U1 is a small nuclear RNA (snRNA) component of the spliceosome (involved in pre-mRNA splicing). Its 5' end forms complementary base pairs with the 5' splice junction, thus defining the 5' donor site of an intron. Lineage: Eukaryota; Metazoa; Chordata; Mammalia; Rodentia; Cricetidae. The record is from Rfam by way of RNAcentral.
CUACUUAGCUGGCAGGAGAGAUACUGUGAUCAUGAAGGUGGUUUUCCCAGGGCAAGGCUUACUCAUUGCAACUGUUGUGCUGAUCCCUGCAAUUUCCCCAAAUGCGGCAAACCAGAGUGCAUAACUUGUUGUAGUAGACUGUAUUCACACUCUC